GGCUGUGCGUCCACAAACCUUGGAUCCGCAGCAUCCAAUGCUGACCCUCUGCAGCAGGGUACACAUCAAGUGGACACACAGUC
This is a non-coding RNA of Drosophila ananassae, 83 nucleotides long. NCBI's taxonomy places the organism in Eukaryota, Metazoa, Arthropoda, Insecta, Diptera, Drosophilidae. The record is from Rfam.